Molecule: long non-coding RNA, 485 nt
Organism: Oncorhynchus keta (chum salmon)
Lineage: Eukaryota; Metazoa; Chordata; Actinopteri; Salmoniformes; Salmonidae
Exons: 3
Source: RefSeq, a predicted model, not a curated record
AUUUUGGAUUGAGCUGUGAUUGGGGCAGCAUUGUGUGCAGCUGUCCCAUACGAUGAACAUGGUACCUUCAGGCGUUUGGAAAUUGCUCCCAAGGAUGAACCAGACUUGUGGAGAGGUCUUGGCUGAUUUCUUUUGAUUUUCCCAUGAUGUCAAGCAAAGACACACUGAGUUUGAAGGUGGACACCAAUCAAGUUGUAGAAACAUCAAGGAAGCUCAAUGGAAACAGGAAGCUCAAUGGAAACAGGAAGCUCAAUGGAAACAGGAAGCUCAAUGGAAACAGGAAGCUCAAUGGAAAGAGGAUGGCCAAUGGAAACAGGAUGCUCAAUGGAAAGAGGAUGGCCAAUGGAAAGAGGAUGGCCAAUGGAAACAGGAAGCACCUGAGCUCAUUAUCAUGUUGCAUAGCAAAGGAUCUGAAUAUAUGUAAAUGUGAUAUUUCAGUUAUUCAAUUAUUCAUAAAUGUAAAUAAGGUAUUUUGAUUGUUUAUA